RNAcentral lists this ribosomal RNA (264 nucleotides) under uncultured bacterium. RNAcentral describes it as "partial 16S ribosomal RNA". It matches the Rfam family "Bacterial small subunit ribosomal RNA", at positions 83 to 339 of the family's 1533-position model. The record is from RNAcentral.
AAUUUUAUUAAACUGGCGAACGGGUGAGUAACGCGUAGACAACUUGCCCAGGGAUUUGGGAUAACACCGAGAAAUUGGUGCUAAUACCGAAUAACAUCACAUUGACCCCGGUUUUCGUGAUCAAAGGUGGCUUCGGCUACUGUCUCUGGAUGGGUCUGCGUCUGAUUAGCUAGUUGGUGAGGUAAUGGCUCACCAGGGCGACGAUCAGUAGCUGGUCUGAGAGGAUGAUCAGCCACACUGGGACUGAGAUACGGCCCAGACUCC